This is a long non-coding RNA of Mytilus trossulus (common blue mussel), 402 nucleotides long. RefSeq lists it as uncharacterized. NCBI's taxonomy places the organism in Eukaryota, Metazoa, Mollusca, Bivalvia, Mytilida, Mytilidae. The transcript has 4 exons. The record is from RefSeq and is a predicted model, not a curated record.
UGUUAUUUGUAAGUUUCCAGCCGCCAUUUUUGGAAUUUUGAAGCGAUCAGAAGAAAGAAAUCUGUGAUUUAUUUGCCACAAAAGCAUGUAUUGCUCAACUCAUGGACUGCAGUUUUUGGCAAUUUUCAACAAUGGAAGAAAACUUGAAACAGAAACCAAGAUACAGAUAUCAGCAGUUAAUGUACAGAUGCCCUUAAACAUGUUAAAGUGUUUGAUGAAGUAAAGAGCAAGAUACUAUCCCAUUUAGCAGCGAUACUGCAUGACUUUAAUUCCCAGACAAUAUGACAAAGAAUACCGAUUGGCAUGAUUGGACACCAAUAUAUAGUUCACACAUGAGAACUGAGAAGAUGUUUUUAGGGCAGACUUCAUACAUGUACAGGAGCUUCUUUGGAGGUUUGAAAA